UACGUAGGGUGCAAGCGUUGUCCGGAAUUAUUGGGCGUAAAGAGCUCGUAGGCGGCUUGUCGCGUCGACUGUGAAAACCCGCGGCUCAACUGCGGGCCUGCAGCCGAUACGGGCAGGCUAGAGUUCGGUAGGGGAGACUGGAAUUCCUGGUGUAGCGGUGAAAUGCGCAGAUAUCAGGAGGAACACCGGUGGCGAAGGCGGCCCGCUGGGGCAGUGGCUGACGCUGAAGCGCGACAGCGUGGGGGAGCAAACAGG
RNAcentral lists this ribosomal RNA (255 nucleotides) under uncultured bacterium. RNAcentral's name for it is "partial 16S ribosomal RNA". It matches the Rfam family "Bacterial small subunit ribosomal RNA", at positions 524 to 776 of the family's 1533-position model. The record is from RNAcentral.